CACAAAUGACAGAAAUUGAUAUGAGAAAGUGCCCAGUAUAAUGUAAAAUGUACAAUUCAUCUCAACCAGAAUUACGAUGCACCAAAUCUUGCUAUGCACAUUGCCUACAGUUACAGUUUCUAAACAAUAUACAAAGUUUUUUUUGAGCAAAAUGCUCAUUCUAUCAUUUGAACAAUCAAAAAAAAAAAUCAUUUGAACAAUCAACCAUGAAAACAGUUGGUUGGUUGAUUCAUCAGCCCUACACCAAAACUAGUAUGUAUGUUGUAAAUUGACUCUUCUCUGUGCAUCGCGCUUGUAGUAGGGUGUUUCAUCACCCUACUUCCACGACUAGAGAUUGUUGCACAUUGUACCCAGAGGAACUACUUCAACGACUGGAGUACUGACCAUCAAUACUUGGUGUGGCGGGAACAGAUGUUGAGGACGUGUUUGGUGGACGUUUCGACAUGGCCCAGAGCCCCAGAUUGCCAUAAAUACAGACGAGAUGUAACAAAAAGCAAUCCAAAUUAAACCAAAUUUUUCUAGAGAUAGCCCACUUUUUCGAGGCUUUGUAAGAGACAUUAGUUCCACCCUUUGACCUGUUGCAGAAAACCAAAAAGAUACAUUAUUGCAGCAGUUGGUUUUUUUGUAUACUGCUGAAUUUCUCACCAGAUCAUGGGAAAACUCCGGCUCAAACCCAUGGAAGGGAAAGAGAACAUCAUUGGCUUAUAAGAUUACGAAAGCAUAAUAUGGUGACAAACAAGUCUAAAUCAAAUUCUUGAGAAUCCACUCAUAUUCUCAUAAGCUGUUCCACUUGAGAAUGAUGUGAAAACAGAAAAUGGCAUAUUGGUACUGUGAUACACAUCAAUCCACAUUUACACGUUGGAGUAAAAGGAUUAUUAGUUUUGAAAGCGAAUUACCUGUGGCUGGGAGUACGGAGAGACGAUUUUGUCAUUAAAUCUCUUUGCUUUUAAGGGUUUGGCCUGAAAUAACAAAGAGAAACAUACAUCAUAUAGGACAGUCAUCACUGAAACUUCUAGCUGGAAUACAGCAUGUCCACCAACCCCAAAUGUUGAAAAUCAAUGCCUUCAUAGGCGGUGAAGAAGACUCCAGAAUAUACAAGUAAUAAGAGCAUUCCCAAUAGUAAAAGGGUUUUAAGGGUGCCACAUAGGAGAGAGAGAAAAUGUUUUAGCAUAAAAUUUAUGUUAAAAGUGAUUAGCACUUUUAGAGUUACCAAUGGUUGGUUUUAAAACAAGGGUUAAAAUUUAAGGUUUCACUUUUUCCCAAAAAUAUAGUGUACAUUGUGAUGAAAUCUAAUUUUUAAUUAAUAAAAUAGUCCUACGUGGCACUUUUAACUCCUUGGCAAAUUUGCCAAGGAGAUAAAAGUGUUUUGCUUGAAAAGUGUGUUAAAACCCACUAUUGGCAAGAGUUUUUUACUAAAAGUUGCUAAAAGUGAUUUAAAACCUACCAUUGGGAAUGCUCUUAGAGAUUAACUCUAGAGAUUUUUAAUUAAGUAGGUGAUUAGAAUGUCCUAGAAUUGUGGAGGAGAUAUUUUUUAAUGUCGGUUAGAGAAAUCUGGAGACUUUGAGAUGUAAUUUAAGUCGGUUAUAACAUAGUAUAAAUAGGUAUGUAGAUGUAUUGGUUAGGACAUCAGAGAAGAAGUUGAGUCCUGAUCAAAUACUAAAGUGUUAGUAUAGUUGUUGUCCAAGAAGUGUUUGUCUAAACCCUUAAGUGAGUAAAGUGUGUUUGUAUAAAACUCUGAUCUUUUCUGAAAUCAAGCCCAUCUAUUUCUCUCAAGUUUACACUCCUAAAUUCCUACAAGUGGCAUCAGAGCCAGGUUCGGGUUAGUCACGCAUUGGUGGUGAUAACCAAGUGUUGGGUAUAGUUUUCCCAAGUCAAUCAUUGACAUUUGAAGGUUACGAUCGAGUGUGCUAUUAGGGAGCACAAAGAGGGUCCUUUGUUGGCUAGUUAGUGUUAUUGGAGUGUCGUCGUGCUGCCGGUGUUAAUAAUCGACAAAUUGGUUAACAUGGCGGAAUUGAUGGGUACGUUGGCUGGAAUUGAGAAGUUAAACAACAACAACUAUAGUUAUUGGAAGUCUUGCAUGGAGUCAUAUCUCCAAGGGCAAGAUUUGUGGGAAAUUGUUGUAGGAAGUGAUGUCUCUCAACCUGAGGAAACAACCACAAAUAUGAAUGACGUGAAGAAAUGGAAGAUUCGCGCUGGGAAAGCCUUAUUUGUAAUUAAAGCUUCUAUUCAAAAAGAUUUGAUAGAGCACAUUCGAGAUGCAAAGACUCCGAAGCAGGAAUGGGAUGCUUUUGCAGCAUUAUUCUCGCGUGCUAAUGAUGCUCGACUGCAGCUAUUGGAGAAUGAGAUUGGCACCGUUAAACAAGGUACUCUAUCUAUCUCAGAGUAUUUUAUGAAAGUUAAAAAUUUAUGCACGGAGAUAUCCUAGUUUGAUAAAGAGUCCACAAUUAGUGAAGCUCGGAUGAGGAGAAUCAUUAUUCGUGGACUCCGACCCGAGUUCAAUGGGUUCAUUGCUGCAAUUAGUGGAUGGCCCACACAACCCACGUUAUUGCAAUUGGAAAAUCUCCUCAUAAAUCAGGAGUCACUCGCCAAGCAAAUUAGUGGACUCUCUGUAAAAGAAGAUGAUGAGGCUUUAUUUUCCAUGAAAGGGAAGAAAAAUUCACCUUCCCAUUGGAAGCAGAAAAAUUAUAAAACUAGCGGGCCCAAGUGGGAGUCUUCUAGUAGCUUCCAGAAAGGGGAAGAAGCAACUAAAGAUCGCAAAGUCAAAGUCUGCUAUAAUUGCGGCAAGCCUGGCCAUUUCGCUCGGUUUUGCAGGACAAAGGUAGCAGAGGGGAAUGUUGCUCAGAUAGAUUCCCAUGACAAUAGAAGGAUACAGGAAGAAAGUGAAGAAGAAGAAUGGGAUGUUCAAGCUUCAUAUGCAGCCGUUGAAAGUGAAGAUGGAAACAUGGACGUCGCUUUCACUACGACGAUUGAAGAGAUGGAGCAGAAUGAGGUCGAUAAAUGUUUAUUGACAAAGUCAGGCAAAGAAAGGAUCAACUAUGAAACAGAUUGGAUACUUGAUUCUGGUUGUUCUCACAUCUAACUGGUAAUAUAAAGAAGUUUAUGAAGCUGGAAAAAUAUUUUGGCAAUGAUGCUGUCAUCACCGCUGAUAAUACAAUGCACCCGGUGGAGCAUGUCGGUAAUUUGAGGAUUUCCACAGUUGAAGGAAAUACUCAUGUCCUGGAGAAUGUAUAUCAUGUUCCAGGAAUGAAAAAGAAUUUAGUAUCUGUUCCGCAGAUCACUGAUUUGGGGCAUUAUGUCUUGUUUGGCCCAAACAGUGUUAAAGUGCUGGCAAAUGCAGAGGUUCGUGGUGACAUUCUAAUGGAAGGAAAGAAAGUGAAGAAGUUGUAUGUGUUAUCCGCUGGUACAGCAUAUGUUGACAAAACACGUCAACAUGAGACAGUUGACCUUUGGCACGCUCGGCUGGCACAUGUAAAUUAUUCACGAUUGAAGGCGAUGAUGAAUGAAGAAUCAGUACGAGGAUUACCAAAUUUGGAGAUGCAUGAGGGCGUCGUUUGUGCUGGUUGCCAAUAUGGCAAAGCUCAUAGGCAACCAUUUGGCGAAUCUAAGGUACGAUCUUCUAGACCAUUACAACUUAUUAAUUCAGAUGUGUUCGGAAGAGUUCGUACUCCUUCUUGUUCGGGAAGACGCUAUAUGCUCACAUUUAUCGAUGAUUUUUCUCGAUAUGUGUGGGUAUAUUUUCUGGUAGAAAAGUCGGAAGUAUACCAGAAGUUUCUUGAGUUCAAAUGCUUGGUGGAAAAUGAACACAAUCAAAAGAUUACAUGUUUAAGGACCGACAAUGGAGGGGAGUAUACAUCAGAUGAUUUUGAGAAUUAUCUGAUAAAGCAUGGGGUUCGUCACCAGUUUACAUGUUCAUACACGCCUCAGCAAAAUGGUGUCGCAGAAAGGAAGAACAGACAUUUGGGCGAGACUUGCAGGAGCAUGAUGCAUGCAAAGAAUGUCCCGCCACGUUAUUGGGCAGAAUGUAUGGCAACAACAGCACAUGUCAUUAAUCGACUGCCGCAAGCAAGUCUUGGUUCUCACUCGCCUUACCAAGUUUUGUACAUGGAGAAGCCAACUGUGUCUCACUUCAAAGUGUUUGGUUGCGUCUGCUACAUGUUCGUGCCUGAGCAACUAAGGACAAAGUUGGAGAAAAAGGCGAUCAGAUGCAUCUUUAUUGGCUAUGACCAAAAGAAGAAAGGUUGGAAAUGCAUUGAUCCAACUACAGAUAAAGUUUAUGUAUCUCGCGACGUUGUGUUCGAUGAAGCAUCAUCAUGGUGGUCACCUGACAACAAGAUAAUACCAGAGAUGGAGGCGCCAGAUAACCCCGCACCUACAGAUUUUGAGUUCGAAGAAGAUCAUGGAUCAGACUCACCUCGGGAUGGUUCACAAAGUCCUCCAAGUCCUUGGCGAACAGGUGUUCGAGGACCACCAAGUCCACAAUUACGAGGAGAGAGAAAUACCGACAGGAGAGAUGCAAGCACUCCACAAGAAGCACAACUUCCUAGUGACAAUAAUCAAUUUGAGCUAAGGAGAUCUUCAAGAAUAAAGAAGCCAAAUCCAAAGUAUAUGGAUGCUAGCUAUGCUGAUGUCAUCCCACUUUCAGAGAGUUAUGCAUCUGAAAUUCAAGAGGAGCCUGGAUCAUAUCAAGAAGCUCAAGGGAUUCUUGAGUGGGAGAAUGCGAUGAAGGAGGAAAUUACGGCCUUGAAGAAAAAUAAAACUUGGGAGCUUGUUCCACCACCUGAAGGAGUUAAACCCAUAUCCUGCAAAUGGGUAUACAAGAUAAAACGCAGGAGUGAUGGAUCUGUUGAAAGAUUCAAGGCAAGGUUGGUAGCAAGGGGGUUUUCACAAGAGUAUGGAAUUGACUAUGAUGAAACCUUCUCUCCAGUUGCGAAGAUGACAACGGUCAGAGUGCUCAUGUCGUUGGCAGCAAGCAAGUCAUGGCAACUUUGGCAGAUGGAUGUUAAGAAUGCCUUUCUAUAUGGAAACGUGGAUCGAGAAAUCUACAUGGAACAACCUGCAGGAUUCAUAAGGCAAAGGAAUCCUGGUUAUGUGUGCAAAUUGAAGAAGGCUCUCUAUGGCUUAAAACAAGCACCGAGGGCCUGGUAUGGAAAGAUUGCAGAGUUCCUAGUAUUUUGCGGUUAUCAGGUAUCUGUUGGUGACUCUAGCCUCUUUGUUAAGAAGGUGAAAGGCAAAGUUGCGAUCAUUCUACUAUAUGUAGAUGAUCUCAUUAUUAUUGGAGAUGCCUUGGAUGAAGUUGAAGAAACUCGUAAGAAUCUCUCCGUAAGAUUUGAAAUGAAAGAUCUUGGAGAAUUGAAGCAUUUCCUUGGGUUGGAAAUUGAAAGAAGCUCGAGGGGAUUGUUCCUAUGCCAAAAGAGAUAUACUGAGGAUCUAUUGAAAAAAUUCGGUAUGUCGAAUUGCAAGCCUAUUGCAACACCUAUAGAAGUCAAUCAGAAGUUACAGAAAGAAGUUGGAGAUGCACGUCUAUAUCGGAAGCUGGUUGGGUGCCUUAUCUAUCUUACGAUCACUCGGCCAGACAUCGCUUAUGCAGUUGGGGUCGUUAGCCAGUUCAUACAUAGUCCGAGGAAGCCACAUUUGGAAGUCGUUCGACGUAUUCUGAGAUAUGUUCGAAGUACUAAUGACUUUGGUAUUCUUUAUAAAGCCAAAGUUAAACCAGAGUUGGUUGGAUUUACAGAUGCAGAUUGGGCUGGAGAUCCAUCUACAAGAAGGUCCACCACUGGAUAUACCUUCAACUUAGGUUCAGGAACAGUUUCUUGGUGCAGUAAGAAACAACCAACGGUUGCUUUGUCAUCCACAGAAGCAGAGUAUCGAGCAGCAACAAUGGCGGCUCAAGAAUGUUCCUGGCUCAUAGAAGUACUUAGAGAUGUUGGUGUGGAUACUAACUACUCGGUUGAGCUCUACUGCGAUAAUCAAAGUGCUAUACGACUCGCGUCAAAUCCAGUGUUCCAUGCUAGAACGAAGCACAUUGAAGUACAUCAUCAUUAUAUCUGUGAGAAGGUGUUGAGUGGAGAGAUUGACUUGAUCCCAAUCAACACUGAAGAACAAGUGGCAGAUAUCUUCACCAAGAGCUUGCCCAUUUUGAAGCAAAACAAAUUUAGAGAUCAACUUGGAGUAUGUAGUCGAAUGUCGGCAUUGAGAGGGGAUGUUGAAAAUCAAUGCCUUCAUAGGCGGUGAAGAAGACUCCAGAAUAUACAAGUAACUCUAGAGAUUUUUAAUUAAGUAGGUGAUUAGAAUGUCCUAGAAUUGUGGAGGAGAUAUUUUCUAAUGUCGGUUAGAGAAAUCUGAAGACUUUGAGAUGUAAUUUAAGUCGGUUAUAACAUAGUAUAAAUAGGUAUGUAGAUGUAUUGGUUAGGACAUCAGAGAAGAAGUUGAGUCCUGAUCAAAUACUAAAGUGUUAGUAUAGUUGUUGUCCAAGAAGUGUUUGUCUAAACCCCUAAGUGAGUAAAGUGUGUUUGUAUAAAACUCUGAUCUUUUCUGAAAUCAAGCCCAUCUAUUUCUCUCAAGUUGACACUCCUAAAUUCCUACACCAAAUGCUGAUGAAAGUGACCAACAUCUGUUCUCUGUCUUUCCAUUGGCCUUCCACAUCUGCAUUGAUUUUGAAACUAGCUCAGAGUAAAUACAAGAGGAAUAAGGAAUAAUGUGAAGGAACACCUAUUUAAGAAAAAACUGAAUGGAAUUAGGAGGAUAGUAAUGAUUCCAUACAUAAAUUCAUACAAAUCGUGGCCGUGGAGGGAAAUUGAUUCUUAUGUUGUAAUUCUGAAAAGUCAUAUACUUACUGUAAUUGUUUUUGUAUUCAAUUACUGAAGUCUAGUUUGUUAUCAGUACAGUAGCAUAUACUACGAACCACCCCAGACACAAAUAACCAUCCUAACGAGUAAGGGAGUUUUGAAUGUAUUGUUUUGAAGGAAAUGCUGCGUGUGUGAGUCCUCCAAAGUUAAAUAUCACCUAUGUAAUGUGUGGUGGAUAGAUGUUUUGGACAGGGUUGGUCAAACAGAAAGCCAUAUCUCAUCAGCUCAUCUCAUCCUUCUCCUUUGGCAGGUCUCCUGUAAAUACGGAACUUGUGAUAGUUGGUGCAGUAUAUUUUUCUUUUUUCCUCUCCGGGGAGCUUUCACAGCUAGUGCUUUUAUGCCAAUUGCCAAAUGUGUAGCAGUAUACCAACAGCUGCUAAGUGCUAACACCGGAGGCUUCAAUCAGUUUUAAUGCUUUGUGCAUAUAUGUAUUCUUUAAUUUCAUCACACUUCCGAUGAUUCAAUAAAUAAACACUUCCAUUUCAAAUCAAAUCAAAUAUCAUGCUGUGACUACACAAAACAUGUUUUUAAAAUCGAAGAUAUCAUAAAAACAAAAAAAUCGAGAAACAGGAUAAUUAUCAAAACUUCCGGAUGCUCCCCAGUUGAUCACAAAAAGUCUACAAGAAGCGCAUAAAUUGUUGAUGUUGCUACGGAUUGAUGUUCAACAACGUAAUCCCAAUAAAAAAGCUUCCAAUUUAUUAUGAAAGAUCAUGGAAGUUUGCGGCACACAACCCAUGAACCAAUUGAAAAAAUGAAAAAGAGUUGAUAAAUAAAUAGACUUCACUGAAUCUACUAGGAGAAUCAAUGUCCAAAUCUACGAGUAUGGCUGGACCAACACACCAGCCUAUCCAACCAAUUACUUCACAUGGCUACUUCACACCAGCCACCUACUAACGUAAGCAAGAACAACACUGAUGAUUUAUCAAAAAAUAAAAAAAUUAUGAAUGAUAUAAGAUUUGAUAUAAAUAAAAUCAAGUAACAAAUUGGUUUUAUAUCACCUGUGGAUCCAAAGCAAAAGAUAAAACAAUACAACCAAACAAAUCGAAGAAAGGUGAUACUUUAAAGUUUAAAAUGGUAUCCAUAGCAUUUAUCUCAAAACAUGAAAGAGUUACAAAUGGAUAUUGAAGUUCGGCUUCCUCUACAAAAGCAAAGAUUGCUCCAAAGCAAAGGUAAAACAUUACAACCAAACAAAUUGAAGAAAGCU
This 8049-nucleotide long non-coding RNA is filed under the name Aquilegia coerulea. RNAcentral describes it as "long non-coding RNA (ACOE_LNC000720)". The record is from RNAcentral. Lineage: Eukaryota; Viridiplantae; Streptophyta; Magnoliopsida; Ranunculales; Ranunculaceae.